GGACUGGAAGGCAGGCAUACAUUCCCCGAAGUGCGGGAGGAAAGGGCUAACCUGUGCCCGGUGUCCUGGACCCGCCUGCCGACGCGUGGUGCCGGAGCUGCGCUCCCAGCACGGGCUGCAGCGUCGGGGUUGGACAUCGCCGCAGAGCUGUCGCAGUGUGCGGAGGCUCUGCGGUGGGAGCGGCCUUUUCUUUAGAAAUGAGGAAGUUUGUGGUGGGUUCUCUUUGAGUUGACUUUUUUUUUUUUUAAUAGAUUUUCUUUUUUAUGCCGUCAGAAUCCUGGUGGAGGCGGAUUAAAGAAAAGAACUUGACUGCUCACCAGGAAUUCGGGUUCCUUAAGAUCUUGGCGCUUCACCCUUAAAACCAUACAGGGCUGAUUGUUUCCAGAUCCUGACCCGGUGACAUUCCUCCCUCCGAAGUUGGCCUUGGCCCAGACAUCUUUUCAAGAAAAGCAAUUGAAUUAAGAGGUGGAAAAUAAAUUACGUGAAUUAAACUUUAGACAUGUAAAAUCCAGUGUGCUGUUGAAUGAAGAACGUACUGGACUUUCUGCUAAUCUUAGCUCCAUUCAUCUUUAAGACUCAGCUCCCUUGAUCCUAUAAAAACAGACAUGAUGCCUAAGGUAUAUUGAGUGUGUGUUUGGAGGAUGGAGAAAUUAAGGAAUGGGGACCUUGAUGACAAG
RNAcentral lists this long non-coding RNA (677 nucleotides) under Marmota monax (woodchuck). Lineage: Eukaryota; Metazoa; Chordata; Mammalia; Rodentia; Sciuridae. The record is from RNAcentral.